RNAcentral lists this ribosomal RNA (402 nucleotides) under Meteorus sp. RDB-1. Its description in RNAcentral is "eukaryotic LSU rRNA". Lineage: Eukaryota; Metazoa; Arthropoda; Insecta; Hymenoptera; Braconidae. The record is from RNAcentral.
AGAUCGAAUGGAGAGAUUCAUCGUCAACGCGUUUAGUAUAUGUGCGUGUUAUGAUACGAGUUAUCCUUGUGAUAUUGCUUGUACGUACAUGUAUAUUUUACUGCUGAAUGUUGUCGGCGUGCACUUCUCUCCUAGUAGGACGUCGCGACCCGUUGGGUGUCGAUUUAUGGCCUAGAUGGUAGUCUUUAAUUUAUUUUAAAUUGAAGACCUCUGGUGACCUAAUCGGCUGCCCGGCGGUAUUCGCACGGUAAUGAGUCGCAUUUUAUAUGCGUCAAGCCCGUCGCAAGCGCGAUUAGAUUUCUGGUAGUGCGGACUCAAUGCCGUCGCUAGUACUAAUCAGCUGUUGGUUGUAUGGUGUUCUUUGACAGGCUCAAAUAUUAAUUACCGGUCGGCGACGCUAUG